CCUACGGGUGGCAGCAGUGAGGAAUAUUGGUCAAUGGGCGCGAGCCUGAACCAGCCAAGUCGCGUGAAGGAAGACGGUCCUAUGAAUUGUAAACCUCUUUUGUCGGGGAGCAAAAGACGCUACGCGUGGCGUUCCGAGCGUACCCGACGAAAACGCAUCGGCUAACUCCGUGCCAGCAGCCGCGGUAAUACGGAGGAUGCGAGCAUUAUCCGGAUUUAUUGGGUUAAAGGGGUGCGCAGGCGGAAGAUCAAGUCGGCGGGAAAAUUGAGAGCCUAAACCUCUUCGUGCCGUUGAAACUGGUGUUCUAGAGUGAGCGAGAAGUAGGCGGAAUGCGUGGUGUAGCGGUGAAAUGCAUAGAGAUCACGCAGAACUCCGAUUGCGAAGGCAGCAUACCGGCGCACAACUGACGCUGAUGCACGAAAGUGUGGGGAGCGAACAGGAUUAGAUACCCUGGUAGUC
RNAcentral lists this ribosomal RNA (459 nucleotides) under uncultured bacterium. Its description in RNAcentral is "partial 16S ribosomal RNA". It matches the Rfam family "Bacterial small subunit ribosomal RNA", at positions 338 to 795 of the family's 1533-position model. The record is from RNAcentral.